UACGUAGGGACCGAGCGUUGUCCGGAUUCAUUGGGCGUAAAGAGCUCGUAGGCGGCUGUUCAAGUCGGGGGUGAAAGCCCGAGGCUCAACCUCGGAACUGCCUUCGAUACUGCGGGUCUCGAGUCCGGGAGAGGUGAGUGGAAUUCCUAGUGUAGAGGUGAAAUUCGUAGAUAUUCGCAAGAACACCAGUGGCGAAGGCGGCUCACUGGCCCGAUACUGACGCUGAGGCACGAAAGCGUGGGGAGCAAACAGG
RNAcentral lists this ribosomal RNA (253 nucleotides) under uncultured bacterium. RNAcentral's name for it is "partial 16S ribosomal RNA". It matches the Rfam family "Bacterial small subunit ribosomal RNA", at positions 524 to 776 of the family's 1533-position model. The record is from RNAcentral.